Molecule: long non-coding RNA, 7817 nt
Organism: Gasterosteus aculeatus aculeatus (three-spined stickleback)
Lineage: Eukaryota; Metazoa; Chordata; Actinopteri; Perciformes; Gasterosteidae
Source: Ensembl
UCAGUCGAAGCAAAUUUUGGCGGAGGGAUGAACUCAGGACUGGGGUUCAGUUUUUGUUACGUCGUUGGAGUUUUUCACCCUCAGCGUGCAGAACAAUGAAUGUGCAGUGUUUUUUUGUACAAUAAUUUGUCAAAUUUGGAUUGUUUCUGACCAUAUAUAUGACAAAAAUGAACAAGCAAUAUUGUAGUAAUAUAACUAGCCUGGAAGCCAAUCAGGGAAAUAUGAAGACUAACGAUAGACUUCUCGGUUUGUGUGUAGUUGUUAAACUUCAGAAAAAUAAAAUAUAUGCAUAGUCAUGGUUUUUAAAAUUGUUUAUUAAUUUAAAAGAAUUAUUCCAAGUAGAGUAUUUUCAUAUAUAUUGUAGAUAUGUUUGUUUUUUUAUCACAGCUCAGACAGCGACCCAAACGCAGAUGUGAGGAAUAAGCUUUAAUGAAGAGGAAUUCGGGCAGGCAGUGUCGUUGUCGGAGGCAGGCAGGGGUCAGUACACGGGGGAUCUCUAGAAUCGACUGGGAACUACGGGGAUACACCGCUGGUAAGACCGGGUGAAACACACAAGACGAACUGGCAACAAGAACAGGGAGAAGAUACAAGUUAUAUGCCCAAGGGAUAAUUGACAAACAGGGAACACCUGGUGUGGGAGGAGACAGGGGAAAAACAGGUGAAAACAGGUGAACACAAUUAGGGCGUGACAGUUUUAAAGCCUGUAGCUUUAAUCAAAACAAAUUUCACAAUUAAUCAUACUUCAGAAGAGGAUGUAAUUGGCAAAGCAAUGUAUAGUUACAAUUACAUUCAUUUAAAUAGGGAAUAAUAUAAGAAAUUUCAGCUGUACAAAAUCCGGACACAGAUCGGACGCACUGUGUGAACCUGAAGCUGAUGCUGAACAUGGAUUCACGUAAGGCGCUGGAACAACUAGUGAGUGGCAAGGAUGAGACGGGGGCCAGUGCAGCCAUGUCAGCUAUUAAACUGUCUUUAAUUUAAAUUGAGAAAUUGGUGUAAUGCACUUGCUUCCUUUCUUAAGAAGCUUUUUGAAAGAUUGAUUGCUUCUGACCAGGCUCGCACCAUGUAGGUCAGAUACUGAGCCUUAUUUUAGUCUCUUCAUUAUUUGCAAAAGGAGAGAGGGAGCAGCGGGGAAGGGAAGAGACAGAGAAAGCCCUUUGAAAGGAGCCUCUGAACCGUCUUCUGAGCUGAACUCACGCUGUCUCCGGGUGGAAGUUGAGUUCUUGAUGAGCUACAUUGUGAGUUUUCAAAGUUCGUGAGGCAUGAAGCCAUCUCUAAAGCUGACAGGUUGUUUUGAUCCCGCGGUUUGCUGUGAUUUGUUUCUGAUUAAUGUGGAAUUUGAUCUUUUUAUUCAUGUGAAUACACCUCUCCUGCUAAAACACACACACAUGCUGUGAUCCUUAAACCUCACUCUGCUUCAACACAAUCUCACAGCGCUGACAGACCAAAUGUGAUGGCUGCCAAAAUACAGCCGACUCCAAAAGAACUGCGUCCCAGAGCUGCGUGUGUGGGAACACACUCCUGCUUUUGGAGAAAAAGAUUAAAAAUACCCCCUUAAGGAAAAAAUGUAAGGAAAUAAAACACAUAAAAGUAUCAUACUACUUGAAAGCCAUUUCUCUGAGAAUUUAUAGCAGCGAGUAUAACGCAUUAUAGUUGAAACCAGACCACGGUAAGCAGAGGAUGUUCCAGGUGAAACAAGAGAACGUUUCUUCUCAUUUUAUUUGCCUCUAGACAACGUAAAUACAAGCUUACUGGUCCAAGAUAACAUUUUUAAAAAGUCAACACUUCACAGACUGAAACCUCAGCAGAGCAUUCCUGAUAAUGACCUGAAAGUGGCACCAUCGCAUCCUUUCACGAUUUUUACUCGUCCUGGAGGAGAAACGGCGGCUUGUGUGUGGUUACAGACAAAGCCCAAACUGACCAAUCGUGUUCUUACCAGCUCCUCAUGCUGCACUCCAUCGUCUCAGUAGUCCCAACGUGUAAUAUUGUACUCUUUUAUUAAACAUGCUGAGCUACAGAGAAACCUCAUCCCGGCUACUUGAUCCAAUUCUGUCACUCACAGCCCUGUGAAUGUAGGAGAGCGAUGGAAUACAGAUUACGGUCAAAGUGAGAGAAGUUCUCCGUCCUCAGUUCAAAAAAACAAUUCACAUCAAAACUGUAUUUAUAAUUACUUAUCUCAAUAUGAUAUUGGCAUGACAACGAUAAUAGCAAUAGUAUCACUGACAAAUAGUCUGCCUUGUCUCUCCUAAUUUAGAGCAAAUCCCAGUCGUCUUUAACCACGGGUCAGCAAGUGACCGGAGAGGAACGCAAAUUGUUUGACUGUGUGAAGCUAAUAGCUGGAUGUAGCAGGGAUAAUGUCACUGGACUGUGAAUGUGGAAUGACAUCCAGUAGAAAGUGUGUGUGUUCGCGUGUGUGUGUGGUGUGCUUAAGCAAUGAGGACACCACCCACCCACAUUAUUACCCCCACCCCCUCCCCUCCCUUUCCUCUCUUUGCGCUGUUGAAGGUCAGGAGACGGAGUCGGGCGGAGAGCAGCAUGGAGCGGGUGGUCGUCUGGAAGCCAGCUCAUUAAAACAUUCCUGUAAUCAAGUAGCAAAAUAUUCCAGGACCCAGCUACAGAUUUACUAACCAACAUGAUAUUUUCAUUCCUUCUGGGUCCUUUUGAACUUUUCCAGUUUAACUGCGCAACACAAGUCAUGGCCAUUAAUAGUGCUGCUGGUUAACCUUAUUUUUAUUCAUUUAUUUGUUUAUUUUGGAUCGAUUUGGUUUUCAAAUCAUCAACCUAAGCCUAAAUUAAAAGGAGAGACAUUUCAGAAAAGGGAAGGAAUGAUGAUCAGGUCCGAUUGAGUCAGUGAGAAUGAGACUAUUUAACUGCAAAGGUUGGCAUUGAAUGUAACCCAAAGUUUUGGGCAACGAUGAUCUGAUAAUUAUAAACCAAAAUAUUCAUUUCAGUGAUUAAUGUACAACAUGACUGAAGCUGGCUCUUUAUGUUGUUUUACUCACAAUAUCUUGGCUACGCAGAAAUGCCAAAAACACUUGAAGGGGCGAAAGUGAUUAUUUGACUCGAAACCAGAAGAAAAGCCAACCCCUAAAUCUGCCUCUUGGAUCCUGUUCUUUCUUUUGAACAGUGUGCUUGUACUGCUCGUUUAUACUGUGACAGGUGAGGGGAGAUUUUUAAGCAUUUGUGUAAAACGUUGGAGCAGUUUGAGUGAAAACAGCCUCGAUGGCUCUGAAAUCUCCCUGUCUCAAACCUGACGCGACCAACCGCCGAAUGGAAGGUGACACAUGACAGAAACAACAGACACAGACAAUUCCCUCCCCUACAGAAAGUAUGCAUGACACAUGUAGGCAAUUAUGUUUUGUGGAAAAGCCUGAAGUGAAUUUAAUACUGCGACAAUCUCACUGUUCAAAUCGUCAGUGUGAAACCUGAACGGGAGCAUCUUGAUUGUGCACCGCGCUGCUGAAAAGACUGUCUGGAGCUUUCAAUGAUACUGAGAACAUAUUGUGUUUGUAUAUACAUGGUGCAGCUGAGAGCAGCUUCAUUGUGACACGCAGAAAGAAAAGAGAAGGUUUUUGGGGUCCUCGACAUAACUUUACACAAGCUGGUGCUCAGCCACGGACGGGAAAAAAAACGUUGGGGUUCAAACCCAAACCAACCAAAUACAGUAGCAGAGAAAGACAUGAGAGUAUGUCAUCAAGAUAUGAGUAUGUCAUAAAGACAUGAGAGUAUGUGAUGAAGAUAUGACAGUAUGUGAUGAAGAUAUGAGAGUAUGUCAUGACGAUAUAAGAGUAUGUCAUGAAGAUAUAAGAGUAUUUUAUAAAGAUACGAGAGUAUGUCAUAAAGACAUGAGAGUAUGUGAUGAAGAUAUGAGAGUAUGUCAUAAAGACUUGAGAGUAUGUCAUAAAGAUAUGGAAGUAUGUCAUGAAGACAUGAGAGUAUGUCAUGAAGAUAUGAGAGUAUGAUGAAGAUAUGAGAGUAUGUCAUAAAGACAUGAGAGUAUGUCAUGACGACAUGAGAGUAUGUCAUGAAGAUAUGAGAGUAUGUCAUAUAGACAUGAGAGUAUGAUGAAGAUAUGAGAGUAUGUCAUAAAGACAUGAGAGAAUGUUAUCUCAGAGAGAUUGAGUGACAGCAGUUCCCCCGAAACCACGGCAACACAUGGAAUUCUACCCAAUGGAGGCCAUGACGAAUCAAGAAUUGAAGCGUUGCCGCUUUCCAAUGGAGCAGCAGGCGAGGGAGAGCAGGGACAGGAAUUAUUUAGACGGGGAGGAGUUUGUAAGCUGUACGCAUAUAACAUGUGGAAUUUGACACUGAGAUUAAAGGCAAUCCUCAUUGUGAAUCUAUUUGAAGCUUGUUGUUUGGAGUCAUAUUUAGAUGACAUCUGUAGCACAUUUGUAGCGAGUAACUUUUUUUCCAGAAUGAAUAAAAUAAAUGAAUGAAUACAAAAUGAUACAAUGACCUCAAAGGUGGAGGCUUAUCAGAGCCGUCAUGACUCACAGGUAAAGAUGAUCUUCUUAAUCUCAACAAGUGUGCGUCGACCUCUUGAAUCGAGAUGCUCACAUGGAACAUUGGAGUGGCCACUGCUGUGGUGUGCAACGCCGUUGGCUGCAGUGCUUUGCAGCAGACUCAAGCCUGGACGCAUCAUUAGACAACUGAGAGCUGAGAAUUACACAACUAAUUGUUGAUUUGUACAUUUAGAUCUCCUACCGUCGUACCAGCAAUCAAGAGAAAUAUAUUCAAUUUGAAUAAGAUGGUGCUUGCUUGGCACAACCUUGAGACCAAUUGAAAAUACUCAAGGAAGAGAUAAGUGAACAUUUUGUAUCAAUGCAAGUUAAUCAGAGUCUGGCACAAAGGCCGUCUUGGGAAAUUCCCGACUCCGUUCUGGCAUUGCUUUAAUUUCUGUUUAAUCCCAAGAGCAGGAGUUUAACGAACCAAUUAAUUGCUAGAUCAGAUUUAAUUCCCGAAAGCCUUGAAACCUUCUCUGUGUGAAGGGUUUCUCCAAUGCUCAAGGCUCACGUAUUACUGUCCCUCGUUUAUUUUGAUCGUAAGACCUCUGUUAGAAGCCAACAAGUUCUUGAGUUGUGUUCUCCCACUCUGCCCUUCUCAUCCUGGUGAACAGCUAUAAAGAAACACGUUCUGCUACAUAAGUUAAAUAUUAUCACUUACAAUGGCAUUUACUCUUAGCACUUUGUAGUUUGGCUUUUUGAAGGAAUUGCACUUUCUUGAUUCUUCUCGUUCUGGGUCUGUUCCCUCUAUGUUGAAUAAAUCCGCAAAAUGAAAAAUGUAAAUGUCUAUGACGGAGGUCUUCAACAGGGGGUCUGCGGAGGUACUGCAGGGGGGGGUCACAACAUUUUUGGUUGAUAAGACAAUUUCUUUUCUUUUCUUUUUUUCCAACCAAAAAUUCCACAAAUGUAAAUAUCUUCAGAAUCAGAAGUGUAAUUAUUGUCUUUACAUGCAUAUUAACAUGAAUCCAACAUAUUGUAGGGCACGGAUAAAUGGAUGGAGAAGACGUUAUCUUUCAGUCCGCAACACACACAUUCAGCUUCCCACAGGAGGAGCUCUCUCAAGCUGGGCACCGGUUCAUCAGAUCGUUAUGCCCACGUCUAAAGAGUGCAAACCUCAAAAAUAAAAGAUGCCGGACCAAACUCCGCCAUCAGUUUGGGGGACCUCAGCAUGAAAAACGUUGAGGACCCCUGGUCUAUGACACACAUGUAUUGAUGAAUGUCAAUGUCCGGUCCUGUACGGCUCAGACGGUGCGUAGCCGUCCACUCCAGAUUAGCACAGACUACAAGACAAGUGUCCUGCAGACAGACGACAGACCACGCAGCCAGUCCCCUCAGUAAUCCUGCUGAAAGUCCCCCAAAAACCAGCCCCCCCUCUCCUCAAGGUCCAAAAUCUUAGAUUAUGGAGGUGACAUUUGUCCACAGAGAAUAGGGGGCUGUACGCACCUCAUUACAGAGAAAGCAGGAUAAGGCUGGAAAAGCUCUGAGACGUCUGAGCUGGGUGGGGUCACAGGUGGAGCAGCCCGAGCAACUAAUGCUGAUUUCCUCUUAGUAACCUGAUGGGAUUGAUUAAAAUUAAAAGAACAAAAUAAACUAUGUCAUACCAGAUAAGACAGGCAAACAACUUUUUAAUGUGCUUUGAGGCAAAUUGUUCAUAUAUUGAAUUUUGGUUCACAAUUCCGUAGCCAAAAUGUUUCUGUGUUUAGGGACUCAAUGGAUGAGGUGGGGUUAUAAAGUCAUUACAAGGCAUGCAACUGGGAUUUGGAGAGGACUGGUCCGGCCUAAUGGAGAGUCCAAAGUGGAACCAGGCAGACGCGCGACUGCAACAAAUAGCGCUCGGAGACCACAGAAUGAACAUUAACGAGAGAAUUGCUUGUGUUGGUCAGAGGUCACUUCUCCCUUCAUCUGUUUCCUCCAGGGAAUCUCUGGUUACAGCACAAGGUUUUCAGUGGUGCUGAUGAAGAGGUCGACCCUUCGCGACAUCGCAGUAUUUGUUUGUCCUCCGAACAAAACACACUGAUGAGCUUUUUAUAUUAACAACAACUGAUCAAGAUGAGGCAUAUGUGGAAAUGUAACGAUGUACUCAAAGGUGAAGAAAUCCAAGCAGCUUUAGAAUUGAAAUUAAAAGCAGUGUUUGGUGCUAUGUGAAGUCCGACCUCACCGUAUAAAAGCCUGGAGCCCUGACGCUUAGAGAGGACUGGGGAGAUCAUAAGGAUAGGAGAACAGGUUUGCUCUUCUGGACACUUGUACGGCAACAAAAUCCAGCAGGAACAAACAUCCUCCGAGGAAAGGGCGGGGCAAGCCGUACGCUUGGGGGCUAAUUAGAGUCAAAGCAAUUACUAAAUCAAAAAUGCGAUUAAGAAGGGGUUUGGCGACUCUUUGCCCAUCUGUCUCAUCCCAUGAGGAAGUGAACAUGGGAACAUGAGAGAGAGAUUCUUGAUAACAGCUGAAGUGUGGAGUGAAAACAAUGACUGUUCAUUUGAAAGUGAAAUGUGAUUUGAAUGUGUUUGUACUACAGCUCUUAUGUUCAAGGGGAAUUACGUCUAUGAAGUGCUGUUAACAGAUCAGGAUCACCGUAAGCACUCACUUAUACAAUGUGUGACAUUGAGUGCUUGGAUGGGACGAGGCAAUUAAUCCUCCCUCUCAGCCCGUUGAAUAAACUUCACAACACGUUUUAAAUAUUCAUUUACAUUUUUGUAAUGUGAAUACACCGAUCCCUGGUGAGAUUAUAGCCACAAGGGCAAAUUAAUUGUACUAAACAACAGUUCCGUUUUCCUUUCCAAGAAACCUCCCUUAUUAUUUUAGGGGCAACCUGUUGAGAAAUGGGUUUUUUUCAGCUGCGAUUAAGCAUUCACUGCAUUGGAUCCUGCCAGUGAGAAGCACAUUGAGACAAAGUGAGGACAUAUGCCUCAUCUUUAAACAUAAACUCUCAUCUCAUGUUGUAGUCGGUGUUACAAUUCAAUGACAUUGGUCAAGACAAGACAAGGAGGCCUUUUUCGGAGGACGGAUUAGCUUUGGAUUAGCCAUGUCUGCACAUAUAUGUCAACUGCAAGUCUACUGUCUCAGAUUAAUGCUAGCCCUUCCUAUCGGAUUAGGCUUAAAGGUUUGGACAAUGUGAAAUAAAAGAGGGCCAGAAAGGAAGGCAAUUGUCUCAUUAACCCCUUAAACCAAUUCAACCACUGGUUUGGGUGCUAGAUUUCAGAGAAGGUAGCCAGGAUAUUAUAGAGAUCUCUAUAUAUAGAGAAAGAUUAGUCCUUCACUCUCAGCAGGAUUCCACAAAUGUCAGUGAGUAAAAAAAAGUCCAAAAGUCCAAAAUGACUU